Long non-coding RNA from Arabidopsis lyrata subsp. lyrata, 1181 nucleotides. RefSeq lists it as uncharacterized. Lineage: Eukaryota; Viridiplantae; Streptophyta; Magnoliopsida; Brassicales; Brassicaceae. The record is from RefSeq and is a predicted model, not a curated record. The transcript is spliced from 3 exons.
AUAGAGUUAGACCAAGUCCAGCAAGGGUUUUUAAUGGGUUUCUAAGAUGGGGUUCUAAGAAGAAAUGGGCCCAGAUGAAAGAAAAACAGAUCAAUCCAUUUAGGAUCGUUCCCAAAAAUAGGUUUUUCGCGACCCAAUAGAAACUCAUACGUGUCUGUUUUUUAUUGGGUAGAGGUUGUUGACAAAAAAAAACGCGUUUUAUUUUUCUUCUUCUUUCUCUUUUCUUCUUCGGGGUCUCCGUCGGCGACACCAAACGCUUCAGUUCGUCGACGCCGAUCUAGUGAUUUGUUCAUGAAAUCAUGACAGAUCAUCCACCUAAACGACUGAUUCAACCACGGGAUGAUGAUCGAGCUGGAGUUUGUUCCCCAAAUCGAUUCUUCGAACCAAAUCGAAACCCUCAUCAUGUGAAGUCUUAUUGUUGGAUACUUUCAUGCAAACGAGAGGUUUGAUGAUGUUAAGCUCUGUGGUGUGGCUAAAAACAUUGGUGAUCUCAUUUCUCGCUAUUUCCCUCAGGCACCAAUUCUCUUGUUGAACAACAAAAAGCUUGAAGCCUUAUCAAAGGGUAAAGAGCGAAGCCCUGUGAUGCAGGUUGGUAUUAAUUAAUGAAAUCAAUGCUUUACUGUUAUUUAUUGUGAUAAAUGCUUCUUGGUUGAUAUAAAUAGAAGUGUCAUAGUUAGAUAAACGUCAAAUGCUUUUGUAGGUAAACGUCAAAUGCUAGUUCUUAUAGCAUUUAAAACUGUAAAACUGUGAUGAUUACUUGGUAGGUUAACUUAAGUUAAUAGUAUUUAGUGUGGCAUUGAUUGUGAGCUGUCUAACAAAGCCAUAAUUUGCCUUAAAACACAGCACCAUAACCUUUAAUUUUUAAAACACACAACCACAAACAAAGAUAUGGAUUCAACGAAUCCAUAUCAUCAUACUUCAAGCUUUAUAAACCUGUUGAACAGUCAAGAUGACAGUCACAUUCUCCCACCAAAUCCAUAUGAAUGCUUGGAACUUGGAUCAACAAAUGUCCCUGUGUUUAGCACUGAGUGGUCUGAUGAUGAUCCAAGUGAAGAUGAAACACCAAUUGUUGGGAAGAAAGGGAAGAAAGCCAAGAAACCAAGGAGGAAUUGGUCAUCAACUGAAGAUGUUGUUCUCAUAAGUGGGUGGCUGAACACUUCCAAGGAUCUGGUGGUUGGCAA